Molecule: ribosomal RNA, 345 nt
Filed under: Halorubrum sp. EngPdB6
Lineage: Archaea; Methanobacteriati; Methanobacteriota; Halobacteria; Halobacteriales; Haloferacaceae
Description: bacterial SSU rRNA
Rfam family: Archaeal small subunit ribosomal RNA
Source: RNAcentral
UGCACAGGCAUAGCGCCUGUGCUUUUCGGCACCCUAAGGCGGUGCCAGAAUAAGGGCUGGGCAAGACCGGUGCCAGCCGCCGCGGUAAUACCGGCAGCCCAAGUGAUGGCCGAUCUUAUUGGGCCUAAAGCGUCCGUAGCUGGCCACGCAAGUCCAUCGGGAAAAUCCACCUGCCCCAACAGGUGGGCGCCCGGUAGAAAACUGCGUGGCUUGGGACCGGAAGGCGCGACGGGUACGUCCGGGGUAGGAGUGAAAUCCCGUAAUCCUGGACGGACCGCCGAUGGCGAAAGCACGUCGCGAGAACGGAUCCGACAGUGAGGGACGAAAGCCAGGGUCUCGAACCGG